GGGGUGGUGGCGCAGUUGGCCAGUGCGUAGGUCUCAUAGCUUCUGAGUAAUCCUGAGGUCGAGAGUUUGAGCCUCUCUCACCCCAACGAUUUUUUUUUGUGCCACAUUUCCUUCAGAUCGGGUCUUAAGAUUGGAACGCAAUUUUCUUUUCAUUUCUUACGGACAUGAGUUUGUUAUGGAAAUGCAAGUGGAGAAAAUUUACAAAUGGAUGGUCCAAAUUCUCUUAUAGUUACGGACCAUAUGUUCCAGAACAAUUUUUUAUUAGACAAACUCUGAAAUCCCAUUUGCUAAUAUGCACACAGUUCCACAAGCAGGUCCUUUAAACAAAUACUAUAUAACUUGUUACAUCCAGCCAUCGUUGAGGGUGAUGUCUUAUUAAUUCGUUUGAAGGGCAAUCAAGUUGUUGUAGUAUAGUGGUAAGUAUUCCCGCCUGUCACACGGGUGACCCGGGUUCGAUCCCCGGCAACGGCGGUGUAAAUCACUUUUUACGAUUUUGAUUCAACUUUAUUUUUUUUCUUCCCUUACUUCUUCUUUCUCUUAGUUAUCAAUACCCUAGACAUUAUUUGAGGGAUGUGGCUACUUCUUUAUUUUUGUUUUGGAACUAUUUAAAUUUAUGGUGAGAGAAUGGUUUCCGAGUCUAAGAUAAAGAAGACUUUCGGGCUAAAAAAAACACAUAUAUGUGUUUACAUUUACCUCUCUUCAAAUUCAUUAGUGAAGGCUCACUCCGUUGGACCUCUCGGAUUCAAUACAUGUCUUUUUACCACUAGAUCAAACCAUUCGAAUUAUUUCAGCUCUAAGGAAGAUAUGUUCCUUGUAUUCAUGGAAGAUUUUUUUUUUUUUUGGAAAGGCAAUCAACACUUCUUCUUUUUUUUUUUUUUUAUAAGCAAAGGCAAUCAUCACAUAAAUUACAUUUUAUUAGUGAGUGUGAAUUACUUAAAUCUACUUAACAUUUAUUUGUAGAGUGUCAAGUUUUGAAAUUUAGUUAUGGAUUGGUUGGAUGUUAGUAGUGUAAUGUCAAAUGGUUUGUUGGAACUUGAUUAAUCUUUUGGUGAUUUAUGCUUUUCUCGAAAAGUCCAUCAAGUUGUUUCGCAUGCGGUGUGCAUGACUUGUGUGUAAGCUAUUUGUAAAGCUCGGAAUAAUAUUAUUUUUCAUCACAGAGAGUUUAUAUUGGGUAAUAUUGCAAAAACUAUUAAAGAGUGAUGUUGGUGACAGUUCAAAACUCUAAAAUAAAUGUCAAAGGAUUCAAGUCUGAACUUCAUCUAAUGAUGGAUCCAAAAAUUUCAAGAGUCUAAUUUAGGGUCUAAUCAUCAAUUGUAUUUUUUGAAAAGUGUCAUUUAUGUAUUUGUAAAUAUUUUGUAAAUAUUUCUUCUAAAUAAAGUUAUUCAAAGUCAUUUAUUUGAGUGGUUGAUGGUUUCUAUCAAAUAUUUUUUCUCUCCAACAAACCAGCCUUAGUUUUCUCUCUCUAGGUUUUCCCUUACAGUUUCUUCACUGAGGAGUGGUUUUGGGUCAAUUCUUGACCUGAAAUCAUCCAUCUUCAUAUUUUUCUCUCUAAUUCAAUCUAAAUAAGUGAUUUUCACAUAGAUCUAGGUUUUUUCCUUGUGAUUUCAUCAUCUAAGUGUGGUGGUUUGUUGUUCGUUGUCUUGUACGACGUUGUUUGAUUUUCGUCUUCGUGCGGUGUUCAUUUGAUUCAUAUUGAAAGAUCGAUUAUUCAAUCAAAGAUUUGACCGUCAACGUUGCAGAUCCGGAGGUCAUGGAUAUUCCAGUCACUUUAAUUUUAUCAUAUAUUUUUGUAGGCAUUAUGCCUUUAUAUGCUAUUAACUUGGAUGUUGUGAGUUUAUUCACAGAUUCAUCCUUUACGUUUUUAGAGGUGUUGAAUGAUUAAUCUCUCAAUUUUAAUGAAAGAAUAUCAUUUUAUUUUUAUAAAAAAAAAAAAAAAAAAAAAAAAAAAAAGUGGUAGAUGAUUUCUAAUUUAUGAGGCUAAAUUACUAUUCCAUAAAUUUAAAGAAUUAAAUAGACCGACCAUUGCAAUUUGAGGAACUUAAAUGUAUAUUUACUCAUUCGGACUAUGAUGCUAGGUUUCGUUAUUGCGAUUGAUGAUACUCAUUUUAUUUAAAUAUUAAUAUAGUUGGUCAUAUUUAUUUUUAUUUUUGUUGAAUAGUCUAAUGGCUAAAAAUUCAUCUUUUAAGAUGAGUAAGUUUUUUUUUUUUAACAAUUAAGAUGAAUAAGUUAGAAUUCAAAGUUCAAACAAUAGCUCUUGCAUUUAUGAUGUGAUGUCUCUAUUAACCGAGAUAAGUUCAUGAAGACUCACACACUCUAUUUUAUUCAAUGCAAAUUUGGCUAAUAAGUAAGGGAAAAACAUAUAUUUCUUCUAAAUAAAAUAUGAUGAUAAUAGAUACGAAUAAAAGUAAAGUUAAAGAAAAAUUAGCAUGCAUUAUAACGACCAAAAGAAAAAGGCUCAUUAUAGGAGUAGUUUAUUGUUUUUUAUAUAAAUUAUUUUGUAUAUAUAUAAGUUUGGUUUAGACUAUGAAUAACAAAGGGGUGGUGGCGCAGUUGGCUAGCGCGUAGGUCUCAUAGCUUCUGAGUAAUCCUGAGGUCGAGAGUUCGAGCCUCUCUCACCCCAACUUAUUAUUUUACU
RNAcentral lists this transfer RNA (2635 nucleotides) under Medicago truncatula (barrel medic). RNAcentral describes it as "lncRNA gene17903". The stretch from base 400 to 471 matches the Rfam family "tRNA". The record is from RNAcentral. Lineage: Eukaryota; Viridiplantae; Streptophyta; Magnoliopsida; Fabales; Fabaceae.